RNAcentral lists this ribosomal RNA (390 nucleotides) under uncultured Fastidiosipila sp. RNAcentral's name for it is "bacterial SSU rRNA". It matches the Rfam family "Bacterial small subunit ribosomal RNA", at positions 994 to 1382 of the family's 1533-position model. Lineage: Bacteria; Bacillati; Bacillota; Clostridia; Eubacteriales; Oscillospiraceae. The record is from RNAcentral.
ACGGGCGUGGAGACUACGUCGUUUACCCUUCGGGGACAGGAGACGAGGUGGUGCAUGGUUGUCGUCAGCUCGUGUCGUGAGAUGUUGGGUUUAAGUCCCGCAACGAGCGCAACCCUAUUGCCAGUUGCCAGCAAGAAAGAUGGGCACUCUGGCGAGACUGCCGUUGACAAAACGGAGGAAGGUGGGGACGACGUCAAAUCAUCAUGCCCCUUAUGUCCUGGGCUACACACGUACUACAAUGGCAGCAACAGAGGGCUGCGAGGCCGCGAGGCCAAGCGAAUCCCGAAAUGCUGUCUCAGUUCAGAUUGCAGGCUGCAACUCGCCUGCAUGAAGUCGGAAUUGCUAGUAAUGGCAGGUCAGCAUACUGCCGUGAAUACGUUCCCGGGCCUU